RNAcentral lists this transfer RNA (74 nucleotides) under Bifidobacterium longum subsp. longum. RNAcentral describes it as "tRNA-Cys". It matches the Rfam family "tRNA". From Rfam's summary of the family: Transfer RNA (tRNA) molecules are approximately 80 nucleotides in length. Their secondary structure includes four short double-helical elements and three loops (D, anti-codon, and T loops). The record is from RNAcentral. RNAcentral also lists the same sequence under 4 other names. Lineage: Bacteria; Bacillati; Actinomycetota; Actinomycetes; Bifidobacteriales; Bifidobacteriaceae.
GGCGGUUACGCCAACCGGCUGUUGGCAACGGUCUGCAAAACCGUGAACGGUGGGUUCGACCCCCACAACCGCCU